Molecule: ribosomal RNA, 505 nt
Filed under: uncultured bacterium
Lineage: Bacteria
Description: partial 16S ribosomal RNA
Rfam family: Bacterial small subunit ribosomal RNA
Source: RNAcentral
GACGAACGCUGGCGGCGUGCCUAAUACAUGCAAGUAGAACGCACAGUUUAUACCGUAGCUUGCUACAACAUAGACUGUGAGUUGCGAACGGGUGAGUAACGCGUAGGUAACCUGCCUGGUAGCGGGGGAUAACUAUUGGAAACGAUAGCUAAUACCGCAUAAUAUUAAUUAUUGCAUGAUAAUUAAUUGAAAGGUGCAAUUGCACCACUACCAGAUGGACCUGCGUUGUAUUAGCUAGUAGGUGAGGUAACGGCUCACCUAGGCGACGAUACAUAGCCGACCUGAGAGGGUGAUCGGCCACACUGGGACUGAGACACGGCCCAGACUCCUACGGGGGGCAGCAGUAGGGAAUCUUCGGCAAUGGACGAAAGUCUGACCGAGCAACGCCGCGUGAGUGAAGAAGGUUUUCGGAUCGUAAAGCUCUGUUGUAAGAGAAGAACGGGUGUGAGAGCGGAAAGUUCACACUGUGACGGUAUCUUACCAGAAAGGGACGGCUAACUACGUG